Molecule: ribosomal RNA, 150 nt
Filed under: Paecilomyces variotii
Lineage: Eukaryota; Fungi; Ascomycota; Eurotiomycetes; Eurotiales; Thermoascaceae
Description: Byssochlamys spectabilis 5.8S ribosomal RNA
Rfam family: 5.8S ribosomal RNA
About the family: 5.8S ribosomal RNA (5.8S rRNA) is a component of the large subunit of the eukaryotic ribosome. It is transcribed by RNA polymerase I as part of the 45S precursor that also contains 18S and 28S rRNA.
Source: RNAcentral
AAACUUUCAAACGGAUCUCUUGGUUUCGGCAUCGAUGAAGAACGCAGCGAAAUGCGAUAAGUAAUGUGAAUUGCAGAAUUCGUGAAUCAUCGAAUCUUUGAACGCACAUUGCGCCCCUGGCAUUCGGGGGCAUGCUGUUCGAGCGUCAUU